This is a non-coding RNA of Phrynosoma platyrhinos (Desert horned lizard), 72 nucleotides long. NCBI's taxonomy places the organism in Eukaryota, Metazoa, Chordata, Lepidosauria, Squamata, Phrynosomatidae. The record is from the annotation of a GenBank genome assembly.
GCCAACAUGCUGCAGUGGUUUGAGCAUUGGCCUACAACUCCAGAGACCAGGGUUUGAAUCCCCACUUGGGCA